RNAcentral lists this ribosomal RNA (433 nucleotides) under uncultured bacterium. Its description in RNAcentral is "partial 16S ribosomal RNA". It matches the Rfam family "Bacterial small subunit ribosomal RNA", at positions 29 to 507 of the family's 1533-position model. The record is from RNAcentral.
AACGAACGCUGGCGGCAUGCCUAACACAUGCAAGUCGAACGAGACCUUCGGGUCUAGUGGCGCACGGGUGCGUAACGCGUGGGAAUCUACCCUCAGGUUCGGAAUAACUCAGAGAAAUUUGAGCUAAUACCGGAUGAUAACGUAAGUCCAAAGAUUUAUCGCCUGAGGAUGAGCCCGCUUAGGAUUAGGUAGUUGGUGAGGUAAAGGCUCACCAAGCCGACGAUCCUUAGCUGGUCUGAGAGGAUGAUCAGCCACACUGGGACUGAGACACGGCCCAGACUCCUACGGGAGGCAGCAGUGGGGAAUAUUGGACAAUGGGCGAAAGCCUGAUCCAGCAAUGCCGCGUGAGUGAUGAAGGCCUUAGGGUUGUAAAGCUCUUUUACCCGGGAUGAUAAUGACAGUACCGGGAGAAUAAGCUCCGGCUAACUCCGUG